AAGACUAUAGACCUGCGGAGUACCUGCGGAGGGAUCAUUACCGAGUUCUCGCCCCUCGCGGGGUAGACCUCCCACCCACUGUGAUCACUACCGUCGUUGCUUUGGCGGGCCGCUGGGCCCAGCCCACCGCCGGCCCCGGCUGGCGCGUGCCCGCCAGAGGCCCUACAAACGCUGGAUAUCAGUGCCGUCUGAGUACACAUGUUAAUCGUUAAAACUUUUAACAAUGGAUCUCUAGAUCGG
This 240-nucleotide unclassified non-coding RNA is filed under the name soil metagenome. Its description in RNAcentral is "partial contains 5.8S ribosomal RNA, internal transcribed spacer 2, and large subunit ribosomal RNA". The record is from RNAcentral.